GCCGAUUUGGUCCUAGUCCCAAUCUUAACUACUUUCGAGGUGCCACAUGCAAGCCCAUUAACGAACCAGUGAAGUAAAAUCUUGUUCCCUAAAACCUAGAAAGAAAAGAAGGAAAGAGAAAACCAGUAUCAGGCACUAAACAGAUGAGCCCACGACACUAAGCAAUACGCCACAACUGCAGUGCUAAAUAUUAGACAAUCAGAAAAAUCCGGAUCUAGCAAAAAAAGUAUGAAGGAGGUAAAAUACGUGCCAGCCACCGCGGUUAUACGUAAUUCCUACAGUUAAAUAGCACGGUGAAAAGGGUGGUUAGAAGAGAAAUUAAUUGGUUGUAGCUUUGGGCUAGUGGUAAAAAACUAAUCCCACAAGAAACCUUUACCCCCAAAUUAAACAUUUGAAGCCACGAAAACUAAGACCUAAACCAGGAUUAGAUACCCUGUUAUACUUAGAAGUGAACAACCUUAAGCACCAGAGAACUACGAACCUAAAGUUUAAAACUCAAAGGACUUGGCGGUUUUCCAAACCUCCCUGGAGGAGCUUGCCAUUGAAUCGAUAACCCACGAAACACCUCACCAACUUUUGUAACAACAGCUUGUAUACCAUCGUCGUAAGUCUACUUCUUGAGAAAGUUGACUUUAAGGGAGAGCCCUAGACGUCAGAUCAAGGUGCAGCCUAUAGGUUGGGAAUAGGUGAGCUACAAUGUUUGAACAAACCAGUGAAAGAAGGGAUGAAAUACCCCUCGGAAAUUGGAUUCAGCAGUAAGCCCCAUUAAGAAAAUGGGGCUGAAAAGAGCUCUGGAAUGCGUACACAUCGCCCGUCACUCUCGCCUAGUUAAGAUUACGCAAGGGGAGAAAAGUCGUAACACAAUAGGCACACCGGAAGGUGUGCCUGGAAAAUGCCCCUAUAGUUG
RNAcentral lists this non-coding RNA (907 nucleotides) under Strongylocentrotus droebachiensis (green sea urchin). Its description in RNAcentral is "12S ribosomal RNA". It matches the Rfam family "Bacterial small subunit ribosomal RNA". The record is from RNAcentral. Lineage: Eukaryota; Metazoa; Echinodermata; Echinoidea; Camarodonta; Strongylocentrotidae.